AACGAACGCUGGCGGCGUGCCUAACACAUGCAAGUCGUGCGAGAAAGUUCCUUCGGGAGCGAGUAAAGCGGCGCACGGGUGAGUAACACGUAGGUAACCUGCCCCCCAGUCUGGAACAACUAGAGGAAACUCUAGCUAAUGCCGGAUGAGACCACGAUCCCUUCGGGGGUUGCGGCCAAAGAUGGCCUCUACUUGUAAGCUAUCGCUGAGGGAUGGGCCUGCGGGCCAUUAGCUUGUUGGUGAGGUAACGGCUCACCAAGGCUGUGAUGGCUAGCUGGUCUGAGAGGAUGACCAGCCACACUGGGACUGAGACACGGCCCAGACUCCUACGGGAGCAGCAGUGGGAAUAUUGCGCAAAUGGGCGAAAGCCUGACGCAGCGACGCCGCGUGGGGGAUGAAGGUCUUCGGAUUGUAAACCCCUUUCGGGAGGGAAGAUGGAGUGGGUAACCACUUGGACGGUACCUCCAGAAGCAGCCACGGCUAACUUCGUGCCAGCAGCCGCGGUAAUCG
RNAcentral lists this ribosomal RNA (510 nucleotides) under uncultured bacterium. RNAcentral's name for it is "bacterial SSU rRNA". It matches the Rfam family "Bacterial small subunit ribosomal RNA", at positions 29 to 527 of the family's 1533-position model. The record is from RNAcentral.